GACCUGAGGGCGCUGGGCAGCUGGUACCCGCGGCGGGAGUGGGAAUCGCAGGGUCCUCGGUGGCCGCCGCGAGCUGGGAAGGUUUCCGUCACUACCUGGGAUCCCUGCACCGAGCUUUGGAAUCCAGUUUCAUUUAAUAUUUGCCCUCUUCUUUUCCAGCUGUCUCUUCCAGUUUGAGCAAUUUGUGAUGUCCCAGGGAGUAGCUGUCUUGGCCUCUAGACUGCCUUCCUUGGGCCCCAGUCUCCUCUCUUCCCUCCAUGACUUCUACAACCACGGAUGCCACACUUCCUAAAAACAGAGCGAUAAAUUGACCACCACACAUCUCUUGUGCACCUUGCAGACAGGCAAACAAUGGGAAAAAAGUGUGAAGAUGACCCAGUGAAUAAAGUGUUUGCACUUCUCCCACAAGUCUGAAGGUGUGAGUUUGGAACCCCACAUGAAAAGGGACAGGGUAGAGCCCGUCUGAAAUCUGGGACCAAUGGCGGGAGGCGGGGGGCGUGGAAGUUCCUAGGCCAGCAGCAAGUCUAGGGUUGGGAUGGGGGGGCAAGAGAGCAAAUCUCAAACAAAGUAAAAGGAAGGUCUGAGGUUGUCUGCUCACCUCCAAACACAAGCUAUGACACACACACAUGUAUGCACAGCUGCUCGCACGUGCACACGUAUACACACAAACACACACACACACACACACACACACAUCAUGCAUGUAGAGAUAACGAGUUAAGAAGGUUGUUGGAAGUCAGCUCCAGAGCACAGAGCCUUGGGCAGUCAGGCCUGUCUUCCAGCUUACUGUCCCAAAGAGGAAUUAACGUUUUUCCUUACAUUUAACCUUAUAAAAAUCGACACACAUAGAGCAGAGUUACCCGUAGGAAAAACCACAUCUGGAUUUCAUAGCUUCGGUUUUAAAGCCUACCUUUCUUAGAAAAUAAAAUGGCAUCUGUGUAAUUGGAGCGUGGAUUGAGGGCCUCAAUUGGGGUUUUGCCUUCUGUUUCACAGGCAAAGUAUGGUUUACCAGUCUGUUCUUUGUGGAGUACACUACCCCUGCUAGUGUUCUCUCUUUCUCUUGUCAUCCUUGUUGCCACAGACACGCGUAUAACUGGGAUUUCCGCGUCCCAAACUCAUUCCUGAAAUGCAUCCCGAUCCUCCAUCUCUGCCAGGCCAGACCCUAACUGCAUCUUCCACAGAUUCCUGUCACCCUCUGUCUCAGAUAUUAACGCUAGAGAGAAGAGCGGCCAGCAACCCUGUCAGGACUUCCUGAUCACCUUUUCUCUGCCUUCUGUUCCUCUCAGCACAAAGGAACCGGAGCACACAUGUCCUCUCCCAGGCUUGCUCCACCGCCACACUGGAAAGCUCACUCCCAGGCAUGCUCCACCGCCACACUGGAAAGCUCACUCCCAGGCAUGCUCCACCGCCACACUGGAAAGCUCACAGUGGCCGCCUAAUCCUCCUUUGUCACCUCCAGUCCCAUCAAGUAAACACAUUGAUUUGUGGCUAAAGAAUUCAGAUUGCUUCAUUUCAAAGGCUGCUGUGGCUGAGAAGCAGAAUCCUCACGAGAACCCCAGCAAACUGGAGAAAGGGAAUCUCUGCUAGCGCGGAGAUGGUUGGCAGAGUAGAGGGCCAUGGGCACACCUACAUCCACAUCUCUUCAGGGUCCCUGGUAAUUUCUCUGCACACGUUUGACUUCAUGGUGACUUGUGGAAUCAUUUUACAUCACGUUUUGCUAAACGGGUUUGUAGCAUUUGAUUUGGAAACACAACCAAUAUGUAUAUUAUGUUUACAGCUACCAACAUAAAUGUAUAAAAUAACUUCUGGGUAAGGGCCAUUAACGAGUCAAAUAGUGCCUGUAUUUUAAAAAGCUUACAGCUUUCAAACAGAAGGUGUAAAAACACUGUUUACUUUUACAACCCCACGUACAAAAAGCGUAUUAGGAAAACAGUGGGUAUUACUCACCCAUAUUUUAAAAAAUCAAUAUCAGGGCCUGCCUUGGGGCUCUGGGAGAUCUGAAACUAAAAGGCAUUGUCAGUGAAAAUACAGUUACACGAAUCCAUAAUGUUUAACUAAAAACUUAAAUAGGAAUAAUAAAGCAGUGAUGUGGAGUGUAAGUGAGGAAUCAUCAUAAUUGACAGUAUGGUUGGGGCAGAAGCCUGUUGUCUGGAAGUCUGGCGAUGGAGGUCUGUGCCUCUUCCCUGUAUCAGUCUCUGUCUUCUUUGCUCGCCCUAAGCCAUGAUGGCAUAGAAGAUCAAAGACAGGCACGCCAGUGCAGAUGACCUGCAGACUUUAAACAGCCGGCUCAAGGGGGACGAGAAGGCUCUGCCUGCUUCAUUGAUUCACGCUGCAUGUGAGUCUCUCGGUCUCAUCUUCUUGUUAAGGUUGAGUUUUAUAACACAGAAUGAGAUGGUUUUUAUGUCUGAGUUUCCAUUGAACAUUUAUUGGAAUUUCAUCCUCUACGGAUGUUGAUUCUACAAACGUGCAUUUAGAACUACCCAAAUUGUUUAUACAAAUAGAUGAGGAAUACAAAUUACUUUUGCCAUGGACUUAAUCCUGUGCUCGGUCUGGCUGAAGUCAUUGAUACUGGAACACUGGACACUCCACCUCGCUUCUUUAAUCCGAAAGUUCCUUGUCUAUAGAAAGGGAAUGGCAGGAGCAUUUACAAGUUAGCCCCGGGAAAAGCGUUCGGAUGAUUAAUCUCCCUUCCUUUCAACAGUUUUGUCUGUCCAUGCAGUCCAAUCAAACACUCAGGGUUUCACGUAAAAUGUUUCACCUGAGGAAUUUGCCCAAGGACAAUGAGCAGUUUCAAAUCAUAUCGCUGCUCCUCCCCCCCACCCCACCCCAAACACACACCACGUGCCUUCCAGUCGCAAGUAAACUGAACACUCGUGAGCAGGUAAAGGGAUGGCAGGAAAAGCAGCAACCAAAUCACUGGCCGGAGAUCUGGGAAUUGCAAGAACUCAGCUCUGAAAGGGGCUUAGGGUACCAACUUCCGGUCACAGGAGCAAGCCUUUCCAGAACUCCAGACAGAUGGACUGCCACCUCUUUCUUAAAAGCUGAGCAUGGGGAAGUGCCUACUUGGAAGCCAGCUCACUCCCUCUCCAGAACAGUGUUGACUUCUGCAGAGCGAGAAGUGGCCUUCAGGUUGAAGCCAGUGCUAUCUCAUUGGGAUUCUGCUCACACUGUGAGUGCAGAGUCGCUACGUGGUUUCGGGUUCAGCCUACAUGGACCUGUGUGAACUAAGGCUCAAGUCCCUGUUGUCUAUUGGCAUCUUGGCCUUCAGAGGCCUUCAGAGGCUCUGCUUGCCCCUGUUCUUCUCCUACUCAAGGAUCGAUUUCAGGAAGACACAGGAACAUUAACUAUUUCACACACUUAGGUCCCAGGAGAGGAUUUACUGUGUGAGGUAUAGAUAAGUCUGUGCGAUUUAGUGUGGCUUUUUAGUAUUUCUUUCUGUUCAUCUUCGAAAUCUUCAGAGCCAUAAAUACAGCUGAGAUUAGAACUGGGUUGAGAUGAAUGGGAGAAAGAGAAGCUAUGUAUGCAUUGUUAGGCAUGCUGGUUUUCCUGAAGAAGGAGUCUCCUUCAGAGAACCCCCAGGUGGUCGUAAGAGGUUAUAUUUGCCCUGGAACCAGUGAGGUGAAGAUUGGGGAGUGGAAGUUGGAAUUCAGAGACUUCCUGAGUAUGCAUCCAUCAACCUCUCCAGACAUAUCUGGGCUGGGAAGUGGCAAGAACAACUCCCUGCUACAAAUUCAUAAGGAUAAGUUCUAUCGUUGGAACCAGAUACCAGGCAGAUGGCUACCACUAAGGUACUUAAAGGAACUCGUGCUUUCUUAGGUAAAGACGUCAUCUUCCGUCUACCGUUCUUGUCUUCAUACCAUAUGCUAGACUCUCGCUGCUGCCUAAACCCAAGCAUGUCAGUAUCCUCAGUAAUCCAUAACUCAUGGAAUUAAACUCUUCAGGAAGUGAGGAUUUGAUUGGAAGCAGUGCCCUUUCUUACAGAUACCGUACUAUAGAUGUGCUGACUUUUUGCAUUCAUAUAACAUUUAGGAGACACAAAAUUACCUAAAACCUUGUUAACCUGACAAAAUCUGCAUAUCCUUUAAAGCUCUACUCAAGCUGAGACACUUCCCGUCACCGGAUUCUCUUCUUGAAAUACGUGCUAGGACGGCAUGCUGUGUUUAUUCCCAACCCUAGUGUCUCUGUCCCAGAGCUAACCCUGCUGCAGCUUCCUCGGUGGGAAGAAACAUUCAUUUCAGAGUGCACGGCUCUCGUGUCAGCUGAGAUCGUCCAGUAAAAGUGAAUGAUAUUCCCUUCAUGCCUUACGGGCCAGUAGUGUCCUAUCCACAAAAAAUAUCAAAAGUCAGCAGCCAACACGAUGGGUGUGCAAGGCAAGUGCAUUUCAUUUGCUUGCUGGAAAUGCAUGCAUUAUUUAACCAGCCAGGUGUAGUCGUACGCACCUUAGUUCCAGCAUUCAAGAGAUAGAAGUGGGAGGACCAGGUUCAAGACCAGCGCUGGCUACAUAGUGAGUUUGAGGUCAACACGGUUUAUCUGAGAUCCUGUCUCCAAAACACAAAUAAUAGUAAUAGUAACAAUAGAGGAAAAAAACGCAGCUUGCCCAUAAAAUUAGAGAUGGCUAGCUUUCUUAAAUAUCAGAAUGGUUUUGGCUAUAAGCAAAAUAAGUUUGGACUCAAAAUGUAUCUACAACAAGGUAUUUGGAAGGACUUACAUGGUCUCACACAAGAUGAAGUCUUAAGUGUCCUUGAAUUGAUUGCUCUAUGUCUGAAUGUGCUAUUGGGGUCUGGCUCCUUUUUGUUUUUCUUGCUGCUUGGCCUGUUAAUGUUGGUGUCACUCUCUAAUGGCACAAAGAGAUUAUAUCUAGAUGGAGCCUCUGUUCAGAAAAGGAGAAAACGGUUGCUUUUUGACCUUUCUUUUAGGAGAAAAAAAAAAUCUAUUCCGGAAGCUUGCUAAGGAUAAUUUUUUUUUUCGAAGAUUUCUGGGAAGGCUUACACAGGAACUCACGAGAGGUCAAAGUGCAGAAACCCAGUGCCUGUGCUGUGCUCAGCCAUAAAUAGUGCAUCUGCUUCAUACUCCCUCUCUCCAAGGCUCGGGGCCAUCGUGGAAGAGGGAGUGGAAAGAUUAUCAGACACAGAGGUCAGGGAGGACCUAGGGGAAACAGGGACGAGUACACAAGUGGUUACACGCACCAGAUCAAGCCAGUCAGCAUCCCAGCAGAGAGCAAAGCCACCGAUACUUGACGGCUGCUAUGGGAGGAAAAGGUAGCUUUCUUAAAGGGCACGGCCCCUGUUAUCCUGACCAAGCUCCAGUGGAUGACUCCAUAUUCAUGAGCGUAUGAGCAACCCAAAUUGGACUGGGUGAGUUGUUGGGGAAAAGAACAUGAAAUUUGGAGGGAUGUUAGGCGUUGGGGGGAUGGGUCUUAGGGGAGUGGGGGAUGAGUGUGAUCAAAAUACACCGCACACAUGUAUGAAAUUCUCAAGGAAGUCACAACAUACUACAUUACUUUACAAAGAAAGGUGCUCUAGAUAGGGUUUGAGGCAUGCGCUUGGUGAGGAGAGGGUUUGUCACACAAGACGAGGGCCUGAGUGCAGAUCCCUAGAGCAGCAAAAAGAUGAAGGGAAUAAAUGUGUAAGCACUCCUGUGGCAAGAUGGGUGGCAAAGAACAGAGCAUCCCUCUUCCCGAGAAUCUUACAGGCCUCGAGCUCAGGGCAACCAAAAACAAAGUGAGAGAGCCUGUCUCAAAGAAGGUGAAAGAUGAGGACCAAGACCCAAGCCUGUCACGUGACCUCCACGGACACACAGACAGACUCACCGGGACAUGCUAAUGUCUGCACACAAAUAGACAUACCACUAAAAACUUUAAAAUAAAUUUUAUGGAACAUACUGUGUUUAGCUAGAGGUGGCGGUGUGUGUCUAUAAUCCCAGUACAGGGGAAGCUGAGCCAGAAGGAUUGCUAUGAAUUUGAGGGCAGCCUGGGCAACAUGGUGAAUACUAAGCAAGCCUGGGCUACAGUCUAAGAUCCUGUCACAAAAAAGUAAUAAAAAAUGUUAAGAUACGGUAUUUAUAGUAUGACCAUUAGAGUUUUCCAAAUACUAAAUACGUUAUGAGUACAUUGUCAGUUAAUCUUUUUAAACAGAGAGCAAACUUCAAGCACAAUUGUAUCAUUUGUUUUGUUUUAUUAGCAGAGUUAGUCUGUUGUUUGUCCAGAUGCAAUAAAACAAACGGUUUUAUCAAUGAAAUCAGGGGUCUAGACUCUUUGUAGAAUACUAAAAAAACUCCAGGACAGCUAUGGCUACAGUGAAACAUAGACAGCUUAACAGUUGUCUGAUAAAACUUAAUGUGUCACUUAGUCUGGAGCUGUAACCAUUACACAAGGACAGAAAACCAAAAGAAAUCAUGCAAGGGUGAGAUUUCAGUCAUCCCUGAACUGUCCCCAGGGAGCAGGAAUUGGGGCAAGGAAGAUGUCACCCUUUUUAAAGUUAUCUGUAGUAGAAUAAUAGCAAAGACAAAAUAAAACAGGACAGCCGUGCUUUAAUUGGGCGAGACUGAUAUCUACUCUGCAAAGCAAACCAUCCUCUGUAUUUUGCCACACCGCCCUUUCCAGUCUAAAACCCCUGCCACCCUCAGUUUUGCUUCCCUGUGUAUCUGUCCUCAAAUAAAAACUCCCCACGUAUCAAGGGCUCACAUUUAUACACAGCGCCGUUGUAACAACCAGAAAGAAAAUCUGCCAGUAAAGAUGAAAUCAUAAUAAAAUUGUUUUCUUCUCUGGGUUAAAAAACUUACAUUGUGAAGGAUGUAUCCCUUACUGACUUGGUACGGGUUUUAAACUUACCGGUACUGUUUGCAGCCGAGGUAAGGAUGCUACAGCCUCGGCCUGGAAACCUCUGUCUUGGAAAUUCUACUCAGUAUGAAAGGCUUCUGCAUAGGACACAAUGGUCCUACAUCAGUGUCAGAUGGUCUCUGGAAGACUACGGUCAACCAAGACAGACUUGGCACAUGAUGCUGCCAUGUUCCUGGACACACAGCUGAGGCUGAGCAGCUGGUUUGACGCUAAAUGCUAGCUAGCUAGGUUCUAACAAGUAAUUACUAGUAAAGGUUUCACAUGUGAAGGAACUGCCAUGCUACACAUAAGCUCCUGGAAGGCGUCUGCAGUAAUAUUUUAAGUGAAUUAUUUUGAAGAAUCACCAAUAAGAAUGAAUGACUUAAUCAUUGGGGCAUCUCUAAAACAACAGGGUUCAUAAUUGAUAGGGGAGUUCAGCCAAUCACAUUCUGUCCGUGGGGCGUGUUGCCCUAAGGCAAAAAUUUACCUAUAAACCAGGCAGGUACGCUUCCCUGCGCUCUCUUGCUUGGCUCCUGCGUUCAGGAUGGACCGUUGGGACUCUGGUGUAAGUUUUCCUUCUGUUUAUUUAAGCUGUAGCUUUUGUAUUAAGCUUGUCUGGCUGAUCUUUAAUUACCGAUCGACCUCGCCUCUUCACAUAAUCAUGAAAGUAGAAGGAAACACAUUGAAAGGAGCCCAGAUCUUCUAAGUGAAGACUUUAAAGUGCUGAAGUAUUGAAAAUCCAACCUGCUGAGUCAAAUUGUGUUACAUAGACGCAUACAUACACACGAACGUGCACACACACACACACACACACACACACACAAACGGUUUCAGGGAUGACUGCUUUGGGUCUGACAACCAAUAAGGGGCCAUUCCCUGGGAGAGACUGGUUCUCCUCCCAUAUACAUGUAUGUACAAAUGUAAUAAUCAAAGCAAAAGAGGUUUUUAGCU
This is a non-coding RNA of Myodes glareolus (Bank vole), 7768 nucleotides long. The record is from RefSeq and is a predicted model, not a curated record. NCBI's taxonomy places the organism in Eukaryota, Metazoa, Chordata, Mammalia, Rodentia, Cricetidae.